CACUACCGAAUUUUCCAAGGAGAAACAAGGGGGGAUUUCCAGUAUUUCCGGGAAGGGCUGUUGUUGGCCUUGGGGCAUGUGCACGUCCUCGGGAGUUGUAAUGGGUUGGUUCCCCUUGUUCCCUCUAAUACCUCUUGAACACCUUUGUGCACCUUCUUGUAGGUCUCGUCAGUGGGACCUAUGUAUUUUACAUUAAACUCGCAUGUAUACAGAAAGCGUCUAGAAUGAUAAUAUAAUAU
Molecule: unclassified non-coding RNA, 239 nt
Filed under: Astraeus hygrometricus
Lineage: Eukaryota; Fungi; Basidiomycota; Agaricomycetes; Boletales; Astraeaceae
Description: partial miscellaneous RNA
Source: RNAcentral